RNAcentral lists this ribosomal RNA (397 nucleotides) under uncultured bacterium. RNAcentral's name for it is "bacterial SSU rRNA". It matches the Rfam family "Bacterial small subunit ribosomal RNA", at positions 30 to 429 of the family's 1533-position model. The record is from RNAcentral.
AUUGAACGCUGGCGGCAUGCCUUACACAUGCAAGUCGAACGGCAGCACGGGAGCAAUCCUGGUGGCGAGUGGCGAACGGGUGAGUAAUGUAUCGGAACGUACCUUUCAGUGGGGGAUAACGUAGCGAAAGUUACGCUAAUACCGCAUAUUCUGUGAGCAGGAAAGCAGGGGAUCGCAAGACCUUGCGCUGAUUGAGCGGCCGAUAUCAGAUUAGCUAGUUGGUGAGGUAAAGGCUCACCAAGGCGACGAUCUGUAGCGGGUCUGAGAGGAUGAUCCGCCACACUGGAACUGAGACACGGUCCAGACUCCUACGGGAGGCAGCAGUGGGGAAUUUUGGACAAUGGGCGCAAGCCUGAUCCAGCCAUGCCGCGUGAGUGAAGAAGGCCUCGGUUGUAAG